UCCUAACCCCGAUUGCAAUGGAAAUCCUGGCAUUGCGACCUCAAAUUUUGUUUCGGAGAUUGCUUCGCCCCUCGCAAUGACAGAUUGCAAUGGAAAGCGGGAACACGG
This 108-nucleotide small RNA is filed under the name Flavobacterium lacus. RNAcentral describes it as "Flavo-1 RNA". It matches the Rfam family "Flavo-1 RNA". Lineage: Bacteria; Pseudomonadati; Bacteroidota; Flavobacteriia; Flavobacteriales; Flavobacteriaceae. The record is from RNAcentral.